Molecule: ribosomal RNA, 98 nt
Filed under: Vibrio parahaemolyticus
Lineage: Bacteria; Pseudomonadati; Pseudomonadota; Gammaproteobacteria; Vibrionales; Vibrionaceae
Source: RNAcentral
UUGGACCCACCUGACUCCAUUCCGAACUCAGAAGUGAAACGAAAUAGCGCCGAUGGUAGUGUGGGGUUUCCCCAUGUGAGAGUAGGACAUCGCCAGGC